Molecule: ribosomal RNA, 253 nt
Filed under: uncultured bacterium
Lineage: Bacteria
Description: partial 16S ribosomal RNA
Rfam family: Bacterial small subunit ribosomal RNA
Source: RNAcentral
UACGUAGGUGGCAAGCGUUGUCCGGAUUUAUUGGGUUUAAAGGGUGCGUAGGCGGCUUUGUAAGUCAGUGGUGAAAUAUGGCAGCUCAACUGUCAGGGUGCCAUUGAUACUGCAGAGCUUGAGUACAGAUGAGGUAGGCGGAAUUGACGGUGUAGCGGUGAAAUGCUUAGAUAUCGUCAAGAACACCGAUAGCGAAGGCAGCUUACUGGGCUGUAACUGACGCUGAGGCACGAAAGUGUGGGGAUCAAACGGG